Molecule: ribosomal RNA, 356 nt
Filed under: uncultured bacterium
Lineage: Bacteria
Description: bacterial SSU rRNA
Rfam family: Bacterial small subunit ribosomal RNA
Source: RNAcentral
GGACCCGCACAAGUAGUGGAGCAUGUGGUUUAAUUCGAAGAUACGCGCAGAACCUUACCAACACUUGACAUGUUCGUCGCGACUUUAAGAGAUUAAAGUUUUCGGUUCGGCCGGACGAAACACAGGUGCUGCAUGGCUGUCGUCAGCUCGUGUCGUGAGAUGUUGGUUAAGUCCCGCAACGAGCGCAACCCUCACUUUUAGUUGCCAUCAUUAAGUUGGGCACUCUGAAAGAACUGCCAGUGAUAAGCUGGAGGAAGGUGGGGAUGACGUCAAGUCCUCAUGGCCCUUACGUGUUGGGCUACACACGUGCUACAAUGGCAGUGACAGAGGGAACGCUACCAGGUGACUGGAUGCAA